This 429-nucleotide ribosomal RNA is filed under the name Gemmatimonadota bacterium. Its description in RNAcentral is "Gemmatimonadetes bacterium partial 16S ribosomal RNA". It matches the Rfam family "Bacterial small subunit ribosomal RNA", at positions 355 to 776 of the family's 1533-position model. Lineage: Bacteria; Pseudomonadati; Gemmatimonadota. The record is from RNAcentral.
UAGGGAAUCUUCGGCAAUGGACGAAAGUCUGACCGAGCAACGCCGCGUGAGUGAAGAAGGUUUUCGGAUCGUAAAACUCUGUUGUUCGAGAAGAACAAGGACGUUAGUAACUGAACGUCCCCUGACGGUAUCUAACCAGAAAGCCACGGCUAACUACGUGCCAGCAGCCGCGGUAAUACGCAGGUGGCAAGUGUUGUCCGGAUUUAUUGGGCGUAAAGCGAGCGCAGGCGGUUUCUUACGUCUGAGGUGAAAGCCCCCGGCUCAACCGGGGAGGAGCAUUGGGAACUGGGAGACUUGAAUGCAGAAGAGGGGAGUGGAAUUCCAUGUGUAGCAGUGAAAUGCGUAGAUAUAUGGAGAAACACCAGUGGCGAAGGCGGCUCUCUGUUAUGUAACUGACGCUGAGGCUCGAAAGCGUGGGGAGCAAACAGG